Molecule: ribosomal RNA, 1493 nt
Filed under: Parageobacillus toebii
Lineage: Bacteria; Bacillati; Bacillota; Bacilli; Caryophanales; Anoxybacillaceae
Description: Geobacillus toebii 16S ribosomal RNA
Rfam family: Bacterial small subunit ribosomal RNA
Source: RNAcentral
GGACGAACGCUGGCGGCGUGCCUAAUACAUGCAAGUCGAGCGGACCGAACGGAAGCUUGCUUCUGUUCGGUUAGCGGCGGACGGGUGAGUAACACGUGGGUAACCUGCCCGUAAGACCGGGAUAACUCCGGGAAACCGGGGCUAAUACCGGAUAACACCGAAGACCGCAUGGUCUUUGGUUGAAAGGUGGCUUUUGCUACCACUUACGGAUGGGCCCGCGGCGCAUUAGCUAGUUGGUGAGGUAACGGCUCACCAAGGCGACGAUGCGUAGCCGGCCUGAGAGGGUGACCGGCCACACUGGGACUGAGACACGGCCCAGACUCCUACGGGAGGCAGCAGUAGGGAAUCUUCCGCAAUGGACGAAAGUCUGACGGAGCGACGCCGCGUGAGCGAAGAAGGUCUUCGGAUCGUAAAGCUCUGUUGUUAGGGAAGAAGAAGUACCGUUCGAAUAGGGCGGUACGGUGACGGUACCUAACGAGAAAGCCCCGGCUAACUACGUGCCAGCAGCCGCGGUAAUACGUAGGGGGCGAGCGUUGUCCGGAAUUAUUGGGCGUAAAGCGCGCGCAGGCGGUCCCUUAAGUCUGAUGUGAAAGCCCACGGCUCAACCGUGGAGGGUCAUUGGAAACUGGGGGACUUGAGUGCAGAAGAGGAGAGCGGAAUUCCACGUGUAGCGGUGAAAUGCGUAGAGAUGUGGAGGAACACCAGUGGCGAAGGCGGCUCUCUGGUCUGUAACUGACGCUGAGGCGCGAAAGCGUGGGGAGCAACCAGGAUUAGAUACCCUGGUAGUCCACGCCGUAAACGAUGAGUGCUAAGUGUUAGAGGGGUUUUCCCUUUAGUGCUGUAGCUAACGCGUUAAACACUCCGCCUGGGGAGUACGGCCGCAAGGCUUAAACUUAAAGGAAUUGACGGGGGCCCGCACAAGCGGUGGAGCAUGUGGUUUAAUUUCAAACAACGCCAAAAACCUUACCAGGUCUUGACAUUCCCUGACAACCCUUGGAGACAGGGCGUUCCCCCUUUCGGGGGGACAGGGUGACAGGUGGUGCAUGGUUGUCGUCAGCUCGUGUCGUGAGAUGUUGGGUUAAGUCCCGCAACGAGCGCAACCCUCGCCCCUAGUUGCCAGCAUUCAGUUGGGCACUCUAGGGGGACUGCCGGUUAAAAAUCGGAGGAAGGUGGGGAUGACGUCAAAUCAUCAUGCCCCUUAUGACCUGGGCUACACACGUGCUACAAUGGGCGGUACAAAGGGCUGCGAACCCGCGAGGGGGAGCGAAUCCCAAAAAGCCGCUCUCAGUUCGGAUUGCAGGCUGCAACUCGCUUGCAUGAAGCCGGAAUCGCUAGUAAUCGCGGAUCAGCAUGCCGCGGUGAAUACGUUCCCGGGCUUUGUACACACCGCCCGUCACACCACGAGAGCUUGCAACACCCGAAGUCGGUGAGGUAACCCGUAAGGGAGCCAGCCGCCGAAGGUGGGGCAAGUGAUUGGGGUGAAGUCGUAACAA